This is a long non-coding RNA of Spinacia oleracea (spinach), 1405 nucleotides long. RefSeq lists it as uncharacterized. The transcript is spliced from 3 exons. The record is from RefSeq and is a predicted model, not a curated record. Lineage: Eukaryota; Viridiplantae; Streptophyta; Magnoliopsida; Caryophyllales; Amaranthaceae.
AAGAAAUAGCUGGCAUGGGUUGUGGCCACAACUUUAUAUCCAAUAACAUAUUUCUUAACCAUUCCGCUUCUUUGUCUGCUGCCCCUAAAGCCAAAAAUUCAGCUUCCAUGGUGGAAUGAGUAAUACAAGUUUGUUUCUUUGAGGCCCAAGAAACAGCACCACCACCGGGCAUAAAAAUCCAACCACUUGUGCAUUUAUUAUCCCCGUCACUAGAUAUACAACUAGCAUUUGUGUAACCUUCAAGUAUAGCCGAAAAAUUUCCAUAGUACAAAGCAUAACCUUUGGUUCUUUUCAAAUAAUCAAAAACUCUUCCAAUUGCUUUCCAUUGCUCUGUACUAGGAUUGCUAGUAAAUCUUGAAAGCUUGCAAACUGCAAAUGGAAUAUCAGGUCUAGUUGUAAUACCCAAUAUUUUCGUGAAGUAUUAAAUAAGUAGUUUUUUAUAUUUUAAUCUGAUAUUAUGGGUAAAAAAAAAUGAUUUUAUGAUUUUAAUAAAAUAAGUUUCUAAAACUGAUAUUCUGAUUUUAUGUUAACAAAUUUUCUAAAAUAUCUAAACUAAUUUGCUUAACAUAUAAAUAUUGCCUAAACAUAAAAUUGCCAUGACUAACAUUUCUCAAAAAGAAACCCUCAUUUCCCUUCACCCUCCUCUGCAGUCAUUACCUUCAAUCAAAGUCAUCAUCCUUAUUUUCACCACAUCGAUCACCAUACAAAUUGAGCACCCCCGUUAGAUCUCACCGUAAAUUACUCCGCCUGAGUACGAAUUCCGUUGCCUGAAUAUCAAAACCUAAAAAUCACCAUCAUUCAUCUCUCCUCGGUACCCUUGUGUUGUUUUCCUGCCUGUGCUAGCUACCGCGGCGAGCUACUCAACCAAUUGAGUUGGUCGCAGACGAGGACUACCUAACUAAUACGCAAGGGAACUACUAGUUUGGAGUACGUGAGCGCUCAAGGUUGGUAAAGGUAUUUGGCUACGAGUGAGGAGACGCUUAGAAUAACCACCUAGUCAAGAGACAAUUUCUAUUUCAGUUUUAAGUUGGAUUUUGUUAUUCAUUUUAUGGGAAUUGGUUGUAACGUUUUUACGGGCCACCUUUUAGACCACUUAGUUAAUUUUGACUUUAAUAUUUUUAAAUUGUUUUGUUGCUUUGCAUUUAUUUUCUAUGGAGAAUAAAUGUAGCAGUGACACGCCCAAGGUUUGGAGGAUGAUUUUUAUGAAAUAAAAACAGGGUUUUUGAUUAUAUAAAAGGUCCAAAUUUUGGGAGUGUUACACUAGUACAAUGAGUAGCAUACAUCAAACUACCUAUUGCACUAGCAUACUCUAGCUAAGCUACCGCUCUUCCACUGUUCACACUAAGCUUACAUGAAGUAUCAUAUGGAGUAUUUUCUUCUUUGAAAGUCAAAUGCUCAAAUUUCU